Long non-coding RNA from Pan troglodytes (chimpanzee), 1083 nucleotides. RefSeq lists it as uncharacterized. NCBI's taxonomy places the organism in Eukaryota, Metazoa, Chordata, Mammalia, Primates, Hominidae. The transcript has 2 exons. The record is from RefSeq and is a predicted model, not a curated record.
AGCACUGGAGAGUUGAUGAGAAAGUGGGCAGAUCGGCUCUAUUCACAGCUGGGGGAAACUGACCACUUUAACAAAAGGAAGAAUGCUCAGGUAACAUCUAGCCCAAAGGUCGCUCAGGAAUGUUCAAAGCACUCAGGAGAGAGUGAAGUAUCCCAUCUUUGGGACACACAAGUCCCACUCAGCAUCCAUUGAAAGCGAAGCACCAAAAGCAUUGAGAUGGUGGCAGGACCUCAUUUUCCCUCUUCUCUAUUCCCUUACUCUUUCUCCAGCACAGAAGAAGCCUUGUAGAGUCGGAGCUUCACCAUGUUCGUCAGGACGGUCUCAAACUCCUGAACUUGUGAUCCGCCCGCCUCGGCCUCUCAAAGUGCUGGGAUUACAGGAGUGAGCCACCGCGCCGGCCCAAGUUCACUAAUUUUCAACGUUUGAACAUUAAAAACAAAGCGUGGGACAUAAGCCUGACUGUAGGUUGCAAUAGAUGGUAUCCUGCACUAUUGGCAACCUCCCCUCCUGCCUGCUAUAUUCCUGCCUUUCAGAGCCUCCAACUGCAUCUUCAGUCUUUAGAGCCCCCUCCAGAAUCCCGGUCUGCACACUUCUCCUUAAAUUCCUCCUCCUGUUCCUGGCAUGCUCUGUCAUUCCAAGUCCUACAGCCUGUUCCCCCUUGUCGCAUGAACAGACACACUCUGAAGGCAGAGAGAUCUCUUCCACUGGGAGAUCUCCGGAGGAGGGUCUUAUAGAAAGUGGUGCUCAAUAAAUGCUUCAAGGAAGAAUGGCACUUCUAACAUAAUUGCCGUUUUCGUAGCAUAGCAGGAUGGAAGAAAAGACUAGUGUACCGAUAUUUGGCUCAUUCUUUUUCAUCUGGCAAGUGCUGGAUCAGGAGUCAGCAGAUCUGGCGUUAAUUCUCACCUAUGUCCUUUUCUACCCAGAGCUUCUCUAAGCUUCAGCUUCCAUGACUUUAAAAGGUAAUCAGCACCUAUCUUACAACACUAUUAAGGAGGGUUACUACAUUAGAUAAUGUAGCUAAAUUCAUCAACACAGUGCUAGACAUACCAUAAUUCUCAAUAAAUGUAUUUUGAAUUUGAAUAA